GGCAGCGGCGGGCGAGCAGACGGGCCACAACAUUUUACCGUUGGAGAUAGCGACGUUUCGUUGGUGACCACAACAAACCAGCAUCAUCGUCGUCGGCGGCAUCAGCAGGCGAUUUGCCAGAAAACUACGCCUACGUCUCCGUUGCAGCUCCGACUUCACCGCACGGCUCAAUAUGCUCAUCGCGGGGUGACCGGACACCCGCGAGCGCCGCCGGAGAAAGUCAACACAAAAGCAACACAAAGUCAACGCACAAAGUGUAACACAAAGUCAACACAAAAUCAACACACAAAGUCAACACAAAAUCAACACACAAAGUGGAACACGAAGUCAACACAAAAUCAACACACAAAGUCAACACAAAAUCAACAAACAAAGUGUAACACAAAGUCAACACAAAAUCAACACAAACCCAACACACAAAGUCAACGCAAAAUCAGCACACAAAGUCAACAUAAAGUCACCACAAAAUCAACACACAAAGUCAACACAAAAUCAACACAAAGUCAACACAACGGCAACACACAAAGGCAACACAAAAUCAACACAAAAUCAACACACCGAGUCAACACAAAAGCAACAUAAAAUCUACAUAAAAUUUCAACACAAAAUCAGCACACAAAGGCAACACAAAAUCAACACAAAGUCAACACAAAAUCAACACAAAAUCAACACGCAAAGUCAACACAAAGUCAAGGACGCGCCUACGUUGUGUGCGUGGCUCUCCCAAAGCUAUCCAGCAAUUGGAAGUAAUCUCUAGUAAUAGGAUUACUCAGGAAGUGAAAACAUGUCUACUGUAGUAGUUAAUUAAUUCCAUAUAUUCUUAAUCGACCAAUUGAUGGACCCCCCCCCAAAACCAUCAUUAUUGAUUGAUAAUUAUGUUUUAUUUAUCGGCUGAGUAACACUCCAUUGUGGUGAAGAUUCGACACGAUUAUUUGUGCUGCCACUUAGCUGUCCGUGAAUAAACUGGGUUCUAAUCCAAAAGUGAGUUUGACGAUCUCAAACCUAACUUGCACACACACAAAAAAAUCCAUCAAUUAAUUUGGCAAACUUCCACCACUUUGUUUCCAGCGACAUACCGUACCAGUGCUUGAGUGCGACCUUUUACGCGACCUUUCUUAAGGUCGCACUCAGUACACACAGAGGGGCUCGCCACAAAUGAACCACGAUACCUUGCCGAUCUCGUCAGGGGACAUAAACCAUCAAUCCAACUCCGCUCAUCCUCGCAGCAGCGACGUUUGUCUGGCCAUCGAACAAAUUCGGCCACCGCAUCACGCGCUUUCGGAUGUGCUUCUGCGGCCGUCUGGAACGCUCUUCCUUUCGAUGUUAGGAAGCCACUGGAGCUAUGCACGUUCAUAUCUAGAUUGAAAACUCAUUUCUUUAGAACUGAUUGUUGUUCUGACCCCGCACCUCCGUUUAGCACGGUUGGCUACGUAUGGUGCGAAAGACGUUCAACAUACAUAUCCAUUCAACAUAUAUCCUCGUAUUUUUAGGUUUUUUCGGUAAAGUCACGUAGGUAAAAAAAUAGAAUUAAAAUUAAUAAAAGUAAAAUAAAGAUUUCAGCCGCACCACCUCUACAUAACAAAAGGCUCAGUCCCAUUUACACGCACCUUUACAUCAUCCGCACCUAGUUUACACAACAAAGGCUCAUUCCUAACAGCGUGCUUCAGCCGCACCGAACCUCACAAAAAUAAUAUUCAGGGCCUACCUUGGCUCCUCCCACCCUCAACCAGUAUAUAUACAAGGACUGUUUUCUUGGAAUUUAUCUCACUUGAUACAGCUAUCGUGCUGUGACGGUUCCACCUGAAGACGGAAACUUGUGUUGCCUCCGAAACGUCGUGAUUUUUAUUUUUAUUUUACUUUUAUAAAUUUUAAUUUUUACCUACGUGACUUUACCGAAAAAAACCUAAGAAUAUGAAUCCUUGCAGUCACGAAAGCUUCAAAUCUAGAAUAUAUCCUCGUCUGUUUCAAUUUAGUCACCCCUUAUAUCCGUUUAAUGACUCUGUAACUGAAUCUGUGAUUGUGCUAUAAUUAAUCAGUCCAACAAUACAUCUGACCGAGCCGACUUGCGCUUUAUGAAUGCAUAAUUCAACAUCGAUGUUUGCUGGUGCAAUAUUUGUUUUUCGAUUACCUCGUGCGACGUUUUUUUCUUUCUCUCAUUCCUAUUUUGUGUCGUUACUCGACUUAAAUGUAUUUUUUUAGUGGUAGUUCCCAUCUGGUUAAACAAAUCAACUUUACUUGACGCUGACUUCUAACAGAAGAAAAAAAAUACAAUAAAUAUAACUAACUACAUUCAGCUAAUCUUUGGGGUCAUGGCUUUUCAUAGCAUUUAUCCUCCGUCUCCCGUGCGGGUUAUUUUUGGUCAGAAGGCCGCGUUCACCAUGACAGUGGCAGCCUGGACGAUGAUGAUGAUGGUGGCAGCAGCUGUGCAGUGUUUUUUUUCCCGUUGCCAAAAGAAGAGCCCUUUUACACCUUCAGGAUGGAGACACAGAGCGGGAGAGAGGAGUGUUUAUUUGUUUUUUGCUCGGGGAUUUCCGGAGGUGAGAGGGUUGUGGGAUUCUCGCCUCCCGUGCUAUUGCAUCGUUCUUCAGAUGAACAUGAAUCGAGACGAGUCUUCUGCUCACCCACCCACCCAGCAAAACAACAACAAUCAUUGCAAAUGGCUUCAAUUCCUCCGCUCCCGGAGGUCUCUCGGGGUGAGGGGAAUUUUUUUUACUUUCUCCCUCAUGGUUUUCAACAAAUGGCUCACUCGAUCAGUGGGACCGCUGCCAGCGGCCACCGUGGUACCAACAGCAGAUGGGUUUUUUUCUUCUUGUCAAAAUCAAAAGUACUCUUGCACACUGUACCUCGAACAAAAUCCGCGGACAAAUUCCCAUGGCGAGCAGCUUGGGGAAAGCAUUGCUCGCCAACGAAGGAAUCCUCCCGCACCAUUCAUAAAUAAUAAUCAACAGCGACCUCACCGUGCCCUCAAAGGCGGCGGAGUACCUGGAGAAACCCCCAUGCACUGCCAGGGAGAUAGCCGCUCAGCACAACACGCUGUUACAGACGCGUCCGGAUAGUCACCUUACUUGCUGCGCUGCCCUCAAGUGGCCACCGUGGAACUCUUGCGGACUCCACCUCCUCGAGUUGAUGCCGUUGCGUCGUUUCGCGAAUACGUCGUCGAUUCGCGAAUGCCGAUAGCCGGUGUGCCGUCGCCGCAACCCCCACACUUGCGUCGCUUCUCGGCCUCGACCACCGUUAACCCUGCGGAUCGCUUCGAUUUACGCCGUUUCGAUAUUCGUCGUCGCGCCCUUCGCGAACGCAUCCCCGACGUAAAAGCGGGGUACUGCCGCACGCGAAUGAUGGUGUUUGCAUGACCCUAUUACAAUGAAUGUACCAGCUCUGUGGUGUACGGAGGUGACGGCAUCGUGAUCGGCAUCACCACCGUCGCCACCGUCGCCACCGCCACUGCCACCGUCAUCAUCGUCACUCUCGUGUCGGUGUAACCUCUUGACCCCGACAGCCACUCUACCCUCCAGCAAAGACAAAUUAUCCCACACGCGGAACUUCAAUCAUCACUGGCAGGGCCUGCAGUGGAGACUCAAUCAUAGUCUCACCCACUCUCACCGUCAACUCUUCUUCAGAUUCAAGCUGCACGUGCACGUCUGUAUGUGCUACGGCGAGCAUGUAUGUACACGUAUGUUGAACUUCUUUCACGGCACUACGUAGCCAACCAUGUUAAUCGGAAGUGUGGGCAGUCGGCGAGGAGCGGCAGUGUGGCGGAUAGCGCGCUGCGCUGUGAGCCCAGCGACCCGAAUUCGAUUCCCGCUCACGGCCAACACCAGUGAUGAUUAUCUGACCCAGUUCUGGGCCUCGCCUAGGGCGGCUCAGCCUCAACUGAGUGCCUGGUUCGGAGCGUAAACAUCGCCAUUAGGGAGACAAAGGCGGUCGGGCGUGCUGCUGCCCACUCAUCCCUUCGUGUGCCGUGCCGGCCUUCAUAGGUGCUCGCUAACAGCACCUGCCCCUACAGUCGGUUACGGGGGAUCUUUGUCUUGUUGAACAUAUUUAUACGUCUGCACGUACAAUAUCUGUGGGUUUAUACGCGUGUGCAUGCGUGGUCACGUAAAAUAACUUACUUUGCAUGAGAGGCGACAUUUGUAAAUAAUAAGCCAGCAUUUAAUUCAUCUCCAAGGAACGCAAUUCCGUUAUUGUUAUUAAUUCAUUACUGCUACUCUUUGCGGCCUCAUUACACGAGCCGGUUUUAUUUAUUUUGUUACCGCCUUUGUCGACGCUGAUAUUUGCCAUCUUUUGCAACAUUAGGCGAUGAUAUGUUUUUCUUCUUCUUAUCCCUUAUACGUAGUGAAAAAAAAUAUAUAUUGUAUUCAAUAUUACAAUACAGCAACGCUAAUUACCACGUGCGAAAAGUGUGACGUCAUUGCCAUUGUACUGGAAUAUUCCAUUAAAAAUUAAAUUGCGGGCC
Lethenteron reissneri (Far Eastern brook lamprey) is the source of this 4456-nucleotide long non-coding RNA. RefSeq lists it as uncharacterized. The record is from RefSeq and is a predicted model, not a curated record. Lineage: Eukaryota; Metazoa; Chordata; Hyperoartia; Petromyzontiformes; Petromyzontidae.